GACAGAGGGUGCAAACGUUGUCCGGAAUUAUUGGGCGUAAAGAGCUCGUAGGCGGUCUGUCGCGUCUGCUGUGAAAACCUGGGGCUUAACCCCGGGCCUGCAGUGGGUACGGGCAGACUAGAGUGUGGUAGGGGAGACUGGAAUUCCUGGUGUAGCGGUGAAAUGCGCAGAUAUCAGGAGGAACACCGGUGGCGAAGGCGGGUCUCUGGGCCAUAACUGACGCUGAGGAGCGAAAGCGUGGGGAGCGAACAGG
RNAcentral lists this ribosomal RNA (253 nucleotides) under uncultured bacterium. Its description in RNAcentral is "partial 16S ribosomal RNA". It matches the Rfam family "Bacterial small subunit ribosomal RNA", at positions 524 to 776 of the family's 1533-position model. The record is from RNAcentral.